CGCGGCCUAUCAGCUUGUUGGUGAGGUAACGGCUCACCAAGGCGACGACGGGUAACCGGCCUGAGAGGGUGACCGGUCACACUGGGACUGAGACACGGCCCAGACUCCUACGGGAGGCAGCAGUGGGGAAUAUUGCACAAUGGGCGCAAGCCUGAUGCAGCAACGCCGCGUGAGGGAUGACGGCCUUCGGGUUGUAAACCUCUUUUAGCAGGGAAGAAGCGAAAGUGACGGUACCUGCAGAAAAAGCACCGGCUAACUACGUGCCAGCAGCCGCGGUAAUACGUAGGGACCGAGCGUUGUCCGGAAUUAUUGGGCGUAAAGAGCUCGUAGGCGGUUCAGUAAGUCGGGUGUGAAAACUCAAGGCUCAACCUUGAGACGCCACUCGAUACUGCUGUGACUUGAGUCCGGUAGAGGAGUGUGGAAUUCCUGGUGUAGCGGUGAAAUGCGCAGAUAUCAGGAGGAACACCAGCGGCGAAGGCGGCACUCUGGGCCGGUACUGACGCUGAGGAGCGAAAGCAUGGGGAGCAAACAGGAUUAGAUACCCUGGUAGUCCAUGCCGUAAACGUUGGGCACUAGGUAUGGGAUCAUAUCAACGGAUUCCGUGCCGUAGCUAACGCAUUAAGUGCCCCGCCUGGGGAGUACGG
RNAcentral lists this ribosomal RNA (644 nucleotides) under uncultured Actinomycetes bacterium. RNAcentral's name for it is "bacterial SSU rRNA". It matches the Rfam family "Bacterial small subunit ribosomal RNA", at positions 232 to 885 of the family's 1533-position model. Lineage: Bacteria; Bacillati; Actinomycetota; Actinomycetes. The record is from RNAcentral.